CCUACGGGAGGCUGCAGUGGGGAAUCUUGCACAAUGGGGGCAACCCUGAUGCAGCGACGCCGCGUGAACGAUGAAGCCCUUCGGGGUGUAAAGUUCUUUCGGCGGGAAACCGGUACCUGCAGAAGCAGCUGCGGCUAACUACGUGCCAGCAGCCGCGGUAAUACGUAGGCAGCGAGCGUUGUUCGGAGUUACUGGGCGUAAAGGGUGUGUAGGCGGUCCUCUAAGUUUGGUGUGAAAUCUCCCGGCUUAACCGGGAGGGUGCGCCGAAAACUGGGGGACUAGAGUGCGGGAGGGGAGAGUGGAAUUCCUGGUGUAGCGGUGAAAUGCGUAGAUAUCAGGAGGAACACCGGUGGUGUAGACGGCUCUCUGGACGUACUGACGCUGAGACACGAAAGCGUGGGUAGCAAACAGGAUUAGAUACCCUUGUAGUC
This 431-nucleotide ribosomal RNA is filed under the name uncultured bacterium. RNAcentral's name for it is "partial 16S ribosomal RNA". It matches the Rfam family "Bacterial small subunit ribosomal RNA", at positions 338 to 795 of the family's 1533-position model. The record is from RNAcentral.